RNAcentral lists this ribosomal RNA (481 nucleotides) under uncultured bacterium. RNAcentral describes it as "partial 16S ribosomal RNA". It matches the Rfam family "Bacterial small subunit ribosomal RNA", at positions 29 to 504 of the family's 1533-position model. The record is from RNAcentral.
AUUGAACGCUGGCGGCAUGCUUUACACAUGCAAGUCGAACGGCAGCGCGGGCUUCGGCCUGGCGGCGAGUGGCGAACGGGUGAGUAAUGCAUCGGAACGUGCCCAGUAGUGGGGGAUAGCCCGGCGAAAGCCGGAUUAAUACCGCAUACGACCUGAGGGUGAAAGCGGGGGACCGAAAGGCCUCGCGCUAUUGGAGCGGCCGAUGUCGGAUUAGCUAGUUGGUGGGGUAAAGGCUUACCAAGGCGACGAUCCGUAGCUGGUCUGAGAGGACGACCAGCCACACUGGGACUGAGACACGGCCCAGACUCCUACGGGAGGCAGCAGUGGGGAAUUGUGGACAAUGGGGGCAACCCUGAUCCAGCCAUGCCGCGUGCGGGAAGAAGGCCUUCGGGUUGUAAACCGCUUUUGUUCGGGAAGAAAUCCUCUGGGCUAAUACCCCGGGGGGAUGACGGUACCGGAAGAAUAAGCACCGGCUAACUAC